Long non-coding RNA from Vidua chalybeata, 184 nucleotides. RefSeq lists it as uncharacterized. Lineage: Eukaryota; Metazoa; Chordata; Aves; Passeriformes; Viduidae. The transcript is spliced from 3 exons. The record is from RefSeq and is a predicted model, not a curated record.
GAACUACUGGACUGAAAACAGCAUAAACUUCCACUAAACAGCCUUAAAGGUUCGAUCGGGCAUCCUACUCCAUUGCUGCCCAAUGUAGCAGAAGCUUUAAAAAAAAAAAGUGAAAGAAAGUUUCUUCACAUCAGUGAAAUGAUGCAUGGAGUGUUCAAGAUGUGGAAAGCAGGUUCAAACCACA